This 107-nucleotide small RNA is filed under the name Flavobacterium arcticum. RNAcentral's name for it is "6S-Flavo RNA". It matches the Rfam family "6S-Flavo RNA". The record is from Rfam by way of RNAcentral. Lineage: Bacteria; Pseudomonadati; Bacteroidota; Flavobacteriia; Flavobacteriales; Flavobacteriaceae.
ACUCAACACUAACAAAUUAAAAUGAGUGAAUCUCCGUUUCUAAAGCAAGCUGCCUUGAGCAGAUCCUUGAACAACGGGUUAGCUCAAAACUUGUCCAUUACGAGUUU